RNAcentral lists this ribosomal RNA (402 nucleotides) under uncultured bacterium. RNAcentral's name for it is "bacterial SSU rRNA". It matches the Rfam family "Bacterial small subunit ribosomal RNA", at positions 355 to 774 of the family's 1533-position model. The record is from RNAcentral.
UCGGGAAUUUUGGGCAAUGGGCGAAAGCCUGACCCAGCAACGCCGCGUGUGGGAUGAAGUAUUUCGGUAUGUAAACCUCGAAAGAAUGGGAAGAAUAAAUGACGGUACCAUUUAUAAGCUCCGGCUAACUACGUGCCAGCAGCCGCGGUAAUACGUAGGGAGCAAGCGUUGUUCGGAUUUACUGGGCGUAAAGGGCGCGUAGGCGGCGCGGUAAGUCACUUGUGAAAUCUCUGAGCUUAACUCAGAACGGCCAAGUGAUACUGCUGUGCUAGAGUGCGGAAGAGGCAACCGGAAUUCUUGGUGUAGCGGUGAAAUGCGUAGAUAUCAAGAGGAACACCUGAGGCGAAGGCGGGUUGCUGGGCCGACACUGACGCUGAUGCGCGAAAGCCAGGGGAGCAAACG